This 486-nucleotide long non-coding RNA is filed under the name Nicotiana benthamiana. RNAcentral's name for it is "long non-coding RNA (NBEN_LNC015706)". Lineage: Eukaryota; Viridiplantae; Streptophyta; Magnoliopsida; Solanales; Solanaceae. The record is from RNAcentral.
CGAUUAAUAUAUGAAUAUGAGUAACAUCUGCUGAAUUACGAGCAUAACAUGCGUGAGGAAAACCUCUCCAAAAGACAUAUAUACGAAAUACAUAGGGCGAGCCGAUAAGGCUGCUUAUAGACAACUACAUAUCCAAAACUGGAAGCCGACAAGGCCACAUACUAUCCAACUAUGCAUGACUUUCUACAAACCUCUAAUAUAAUGUACAACUGUACAAGGACGAGAUUGGGCCCCGUCAUACCCAUAUAUGUGAACAAACCUAUUGUACCAAGAUCCAAAGCAGUUCCGGAUCAAAUGUGCUACUAAGAGUGCUUUUUUAAUGGUUAUGGAUUAAACGACGACGUUUUCUUCUAACUGAAAUUCGUCACCGUCGGAGGAUUUUAAGAUCAACAUCUUCUUAUCAGCAAUGUUGGUGUUGCUGCUGCUGGUGAAGAGGAGGCGGCCAUUGAAUGAUUGAAGAUUUUAGGAGAAAUUGAAUGGAAUUAC